Molecule: ribosomal RNA, 119 nt
Organism: Lepisosteus oculatus (spotted gar)
Lineage: Eukaryota; Metazoa; Chordata; Actinopteri; Semionotiformes; Lepisosteidae
Source: Ensembl
UGAAGCAGCCAUAUCAACCUGCAGCUCUCAACUGGCAGCCCACUGAAGCUAAGCAGGGUUGAGCCUGGUCAGUACCUGGAUGGGAGACCUCCUGGGAGAAACUAUGGUUGCUGCUGGAA